UAAAGCAAAGGUGUUUAAUUGGCUCAUGGU
Molecule: non-coding RNA, 30 nt
Filed under: Homo sapiens (human)
Lineage: Eukaryota; Metazoa; Chordata; Mammalia; Primates; Hominidae
Source: RNAcentral